This is a long non-coding RNA of Zophobas morio, 1791 nucleotides long. RefSeq lists it as uncharacterized. The transcript has 3 exons. NCBI's taxonomy places the organism in Eukaryota, Metazoa, Arthropoda, Insecta, Coleoptera, Tenebrionidae. The record is from RefSeq and is a predicted model, not a curated record.
GGACCACGUUUAGUACUUGCUGGGGAGCUUGAAGAAGUAGGAACAGGUAGUGAUGACUUGGAACCAUGGAGGAACAAAGUAGGAACCACGGGGGUGCAAGUGGGUUACGGAAUUAGACAUCAAAUAUGGCGGCUUGCCAGGCAAAAGGUGGGUCUAAAAUACGCUGCGCAUAAGUACCGUGCGUCGUAUUUCACAACAUUAGAGGUGCACGUGGGUCUUGGGAACGACGGUUUGACACAUGGUGAUGUGAGAAGUGAGGAAAUUACAAAAGAUUGCCCGGCAAACAAUUCUAUCCUGUGAGAGUAACCUGGAGAGUGGACAGCAACUCAAAAAGAACAUAAUAACAUGUAUAAUGUUAUAAUGGUGGUUAUGUUUUCAAAAUUCACUGAACUGUUCCCUGCUGAAAACUGUGGCCCAUGUGGAAAUUGAACAACAAUAAUGGUGGCAUGUACAGAAAAGUCUGGCCGACAUGGCAGUGCAAUAUCUUUAUGUAUAAAGUAGCAUAUAACAAUUUGUGAUGGAGCAAACUAGUAUAAUUUCAAGUAUAACAGGGCGAAUUAAAUAUUCAUGUAAGUUCCCAAAGUGUACCAACCGUUACUAUGCACCAAACAGUGGAGUAAAAAAUAAACGAUUUCAUCGAUUUCCUUCAUCAAAUCAAGAGAUACAAGAUAAGUGGAAAUUAGUGUGUGGUAUUGAUUUGCAUAUAAAUACCAAUCAUUUUUAUGUAUGUGAAGAUCACUUUACUGCAGCAGAUUAUAGAAGUCAUUUACGUAAUCGAUUAAACUGCCAGGCAGUCCCUUCACUCGAUGUUUUUAGUAACACCACUAAUGUGUUAUCAAAGGACUGUGCUGUUGAUAAUUUCAGUUCAUCACUCAAUGAACAUGAUUAUAGUAAGGGGCCAAUUUUGAAUUUAGAGGAAAUAAAUAAAAAUAUUCAGGAAGAUCAUUCCUAUUUCGUCACAAUAAACGUGCAACACUUAGAUGACCAUUCUUAUACUAAAGUUCAACCCAUAAAUGUCAACAAUGUCAUUAAAUCAGUUCAGGACGAUCAUGACUAUUUUCAUCGCACAAACACAGUGCAAGUAAAUAAUAGUGCUUCUAAUAAUGUGGACCUGGAUGUCUAUUUCUCAGAACAUGAUUAUUGCACCCCUACAUCAAACAAUUACAUUUCUUGUGACAACGUGAUAAACUCUGAAGUCAUUAAUAACCCAACAAAAACACCAAAAAAACAACGUGGUUUCUUAAAAUGUUGUGGUCUUCGUAGUACACAGUUAACGCCACGCAAAAAAAAGAUGUACAGAAUACACCGAUCUGUAAAAUCAAAUUUGUUUAAAACAAAAAAAAAAACUGGCGACUGAAAUUCAAAAGUUGGAGCAUUUAAAAACCAUGUAUGAGGACAAUAGAUUUGAAUUUAUUGAAAAAAAACUAAAUCUUGUCACCAAAAAUUUCAUUAACUCCCAACUGCGAAACGUUGAGAAAAAACCAUCAGCUAAACGGUGGACUGAACAAGAUAAAAUAUUUGCAUUAUCUCUAUAUAAACGAAGUCCUAAAUUGUAUAGAUAUUUGUCUGUCUACUUCCAAGUACCUUCAACAAGAACAUUAAAGACAAUUUUUUCCAAUAUUCCACUGGAUACUGGUAUAAAUAAACCACUUCUAGAUCAUCUGAAAAACGUAUGUCAAACGAUGAAUAAAUUAGAUAAAUGUUGUUCGCUAAUAUUUGAUGAGAUUUCUUUGAGUUCUGGUUUUUUUUACGAAGCAAGUAAAGACAUGGCUUUUGGGUAUGAAGAUUUGG